UACGGACAUUCAGGAGAAAAAAGACGAAAGGUAUUAAGGUCUGGGUUUCCCUGUGCUAAGGCUCUUGCUCCUUUAUUCUCCACUUUCAUUGAAGAAUGAAGAAGUAACAGAAGUCCUUGAGGAAGGAGUCUUUUUAAAAGAGACAUCAAUCAGAGCAGAAUCUUGCCCAAAAGGAAGUGGGAAUGAACGAGAUCAGGAUUAGGUUAUGUGUAUUUAAGUUACUGCAGAAGACUAUUGCUAUGGUCUACUUCUCAAAGCAGCCUGUGAUGGCGCACACAGAGUCAAAAUGAGGCCAGGGAGAGACAUUACACUUUUACCAGUACAAGUGAUGGGAAACCAGUCUAUACCUGUAACAGAAGAGAAGUUCAGCACACAAAACUGCUUUGUACCCAUGACCGGUUUGUACCCAGGACCAGCACAGAAGUUCAGCACGCAUAGUUUGGUUUAAAAACGGUGGAACCCAGUCUAAGAUUUGCUGCCCCAUCAAAGGGGGAAACGUGGGCUCUGUUCUCUACCAAUCUACACUACAACGAUUACAGAAAACUGUGCAACUUAGGUCACUACCACCUCGGGCUUUUCGAAUGUCUGUACCUGCCCUGAUUCUUUCUGUUACUGUAAAUUACAUAGAAAUUGCUCAGGGCCUAUUAAAUGUAAUU
Molecule: long non-coding RNA, 656 nt
Organism: Alligator sinensis (Chinese alligator)
Lineage: Eukaryota; Metazoa; Chordata; Crocodylia; Alligatoridae
Exons: 3
Source: RefSeq, a predicted model, not a curated record